RNAcentral lists this long non-coding RNA (2721 nucleotides) under Cervus hanglu yarkandensis (Yarkand deer). RNAcentral's name for it is "lncRNA (ENSCHYG00000009739.1)". The record is from RNAcentral. Lineage: Eukaryota; Metazoa; Chordata; Mammalia; Artiodactyla; Cervidae.
GAUAUUGGUUCCCACCUACUCACUAAGACAGAGGACCUCAACUGUCCUUCAACAACAUCUGGAGCUGGGGCUGGAAGACAUCCCUCGGGCCCUCUAAGCUUACUGCCCAGGAAAGAAGAGCCACAGUUUCCUCUGUGGGUGACUGGGAGAAGGUGGGAAGACAUCAAUAUUGCACCUGAAAGGUGAGGUCAUUUCUGGCUGUACCCAUAAAUCUUAGUCAUUCAACCAAAUCAUGCAACUUAUAUACACUUAGGUCUAAAAUGCAAACCACAAGUCCACCCCGUAGGAACCACUCCCCUUGACUUGUUCUGCUGCUUCUGAUUUCGAUCCAAGUAUCUGCUCUGUGGUGCUGUGGUAAUUUCAGUUUCUGGCUCCUGCACUAGGCCCUGAGACUUUAUCUCUCUGGCUGUCAAGCUUUGACUUCACUCUCAGCAAACAGGACUUCAACAACACUAGGUUCCUGGCAAACAAACAUGUGCUCAAACUGAAAACAGGAAUUCAGAGGAAGGAUCUCAGAAAAUAAAGGGAAAGCUUGAGUUAUCUAUACCUUGAAUGUAAAAAAGGUUGAAAAAAUCUAGGUGGUUGUCGGAGACAGGCAGGGAGCUAGCUGUCAGUGAGAAACCAAGGCGAGAUCAUUUCUGCUCCGCCCCACCAUCCCCAAGCUCCACAAGGGGAUUGGACCAGUAGUCUAUAAAGAAAACUAAUUUGAAAAUGAACAGAAGUCUGCUUUUACAUGUUAGUUCUGUUCAUUUCUUGUACUUUCUCUUUCAGUGUCUAGUUUGGCCUACUCAUCUGCACCAAAAAAUAUCAAAGAAGUUUUAUUCAAGCAGAGCUAACACUAUCAAUCAUGUACAUUUGUUAGUUCAACAAUCUGAGAAGCCAGAAGGAAGGGCUUUCAGAGUCAAAACUUGACCCUCUGUCCUUUAUUGAAGGAUUACAGGUAAAAACCUGCUGUCAAUAAAUAGUUGCCUUGGUUUUUGCCAUUCCUACAGUACUUUGGGCUAAAGCAAAACUUUAUAAAUUUAAAGCUCAUGAUUGCCAUCUGCUGACACAUGUGUGAAUUACAAGUAGUCUGCAUAGUUGGUAUAUACUGUGUUCAGAUUUGGGUGUUUUGUGUCUUCCUUUCAAACCCAUUAGGUAGAUUUUAUAUCUGAUUUUAUACAUGUAUUUUCCCUAAAAGUACUGUAUUUCACAAUUUACUGAACAACUAAAAUAAAACUGUUUACCAAACUGAACACAUUCAUUUCAAACAGCUAGUCUGUACUGAAACUAUUUUAAUUUUUCCUAUAACAAAGUGAAAUUAUAAAUUUGUCAUCUCAGUAUACAUAGUUUAUAUCUAGAGUGAAUUUUAUCAAUGGAUUUUUUUAAGAGGAUAUAUGUAAAUCUUUAAUUGCUUUACCCUGAAUCAAAUGUUUAUGUAAUUAGAUUGCUUAUCAUGGCAGUAUAUUGAAAAGGAGCUGAAAUUAAUCAUGCUAACACCAAAAACAAAACCCAAACACACACACAUAUAUAUAUAUUCCUAGCAAUGGAAGCAAGGCAUUUUCCAGUUUUUAGUCAUAAUCUUUUCCAAAUUUUCCUCUUUAGUGCUGGGCUUUGGAUUGCUAUUCAUUCAAAAAGAUCAUAAGCUUCCGCUCCUACGUUCAAUUUUACAAUCUUAAUGAAACUGAAUCAAGCGUAUUAAACUGAAGUGUCAGUCAAGGACUCAAAAAAGAAUCACUUAGGAUAAACACUCUUUGUGCUUGGUGCUGCACUGUCAUUAUCUCCUUUAAUCCGCACAACUUCCCAUACCUUUACAGUACAAAUUAGGAAGCUGAAGUUUACAAAGGCUAGACACGUGGUCAAAGGUCACAGAGCACAGGCUGAUGCCUAAAACAGCCCGACUGUGGCAUCUGGCUCCUGCAAGCCAGGCCAUUUUGCCUGAAUUAUUUUCUGCCAGACUACCAGUCCCAGUACUUUGGCCAAGACCAGUGCUCCUUUGACAUCUUCCCAAGUCUGUUAAAAUGGCGGUAUUUACCACUUUGAUGGUUUUAGGCAGAGGAUAAUAAAUAAGCAACCCAUUUUACUGACUCACGAUUUCUUCCUUUAUCAGCAUUGGUCAUGUGGCUAGGAAAAGUGAGGAUUUUUAGUAAUUCAAAGCAUAAGUUGUGAACUAAGUCAUGCCUGGAUUAGAGUCCUUAACUGAUUGACAUCUCUGCCUCCUUGGGAAAGUGAAUCGUUCACUCAAGAAAUACAUUCUAGGCAGUCAGUUUGACUUCCUUUAAAAAAAGAAAGAAACAUGACGUUUAGCGCCCAGGCUUUUCACCUUGCACUAUAUUAAAUCAUCUAAAAAUAAAGGGUUUCUUGUAAUAACCAAAAUCUUCAACAACAGGAGGGAUCUCAUGGUACUUGUUUUGUCUCUUCCCUGGGGUGGUGGGUAGAACAGUUUAAUUUGGGAAAGUGACUCCAUGAUGGUGAACAUUUACAUGCAGGCUGAAUCACUCUUUUAUCCUUUGAAAUCAUGACGCUUGUAGAUGGUGGCUAACAGUCAAAGCAGAUUUAAAAGACUAAAAACUAAAAAAGUUUUCAAAGUCAAACAAGAAAAUUGCCUUUAAAUAUCCAAAGAGUUACAAAAUUACUUCAUAUUUUACAUUUGUGUAAAAUCAUUACCAGAAUAGUUGAUUUCGGGUAAGUUUUCUUUUGACUUAAUUGUUCUGAUGUCCAACUGGUUUUUUUGUUUUGUUU